CGCGGGCAAUCAGCGGCGCUCAGCGAUCUCCUUACCAUUCCCUCUCCUCCGCUUAAACAAAGUCCGCAAUCAGCGGCACGGAAAGCAGGAAUAAAAAGACUUCACCUCCAGUGGUGUCAUCAUGCUACCGACUGGCACAGCCUUUGUCCUUCUGAGGGGUUGCUCCAAAGACACAGCUGGAUUGGCAACAUGAGGAUAUGACAGUUCAUGGUUCCCCCAUCACAGAGCAAUAACAGGACACCACAGGUCGCUACCUGUGAGAGGGCCACCAAUGUGCAAGCAUAUGACAGGAGAAGUGGUGUGGAGCCUACAGCCAUGGCUUGGUGUAGAACCAAGGAACUAGAUCAGCACUGGUUCCUUGGGCAUACUGCAAAAGCAAAGCUGCCUCCACAGAAAUCUGCCAGGUCUCCUAGAUUUUUGACAUCUGAUACACAAUUUUUGUUG
Long non-coding RNA from Cyanistes caeruleus (blue tit), 444 nucleotides. RefSeq lists it as uncharacterized. NCBI's taxonomy places the organism in Eukaryota, Metazoa, Chordata, Aves, Passeriformes, Paridae. The record is from RefSeq and is a predicted model, not a curated record.